Long non-coding RNA from Tachyglossus aculeatus (Australian echidna), 358 nucleotides. RefSeq lists it as uncharacterized. The record is from RefSeq and is a predicted model, not a curated record. Lineage: Eukaryota; Metazoa; Chordata; Mammalia; Monotremata; Tachyglossidae. The transcript is spliced from 4 exons.
CGUGGAUCUUGCCUCUGUCCUGUGCCGCCUCCACCACCUCUACCAUCAUGAAAUUCUUCGCUUUCCUGGUCCUGGCCGGAGUCGCCUGCUUGCUGGCCUCGGGCGCCAAAAUCUCGGGCCCUGAGGAGACCAGCGAGUUGCCCGAAGUGGUCUCCGAGGAGAGGGUCCCCGCGACGGCGACUGAGCCCAUGGCUGAUCUGAGACAUGGAGUCACCAGGGAACCCAUCAGCCCUGCCUCAAAGGAUUCCCUGAGGGACAAGUUCAAGGAGAAAUUGGAUAAAUGGUUCCACCGUCCAAACCUCUUAUCCAAAAGAGACUGAAGCCGGAGUCUUCUGCCGAGACGCCCAUGGAGACGCCC